Molecule: ribosomal RNA, 116 nt
Filed under: uncultured bacterium
Lineage: Bacteria
Description: partial 16S ribosomal RNA
Rfam family: Bacterial small subunit ribosomal RNA
Source: RNAcentral
CGUUCCCGGGCCUUGUACACACCGCCCGUCACACCAUGGGAGUUGGUUUUACCCGAAGGCGUUUCGCUAACCCGCAAGGGAGGCAGGCGACCACGGUAGGGUCAGCGACUGGGGUG